This 327-nucleotide long non-coding RNA is filed under the name Elaeis guineensis (African oil palm). RNAcentral describes it as "long non-coding RNA (EGUI_LNC014417)". Lineage: Eukaryota; Viridiplantae; Streptophyta; Magnoliopsida; Arecales; Arecaceae. The record is from RNAcentral.
CUUCUUUGAUGGUUGCUUCCCGCUUGAUAGGUGAGGGUCAUUAGAUCCUUGUGUCCGAUACGAAGUGGUGAGAGGGUUUGGUGGUCCUGUUGGAUUUUCUUAGCGGUGUGGAGCACCCGACUUUUCUUCUACUUGGAAGCAUCAACAUCUCGCAUAUGUAACCAAACCUAAUGUAGCCUCAUUUUAGUAACUAAACCCUAAAAAGUUAACAUCGUAAGAGACUCUGCACGCAUCCUUGAGCAUCUGAUGACAGCUUGUUCAUCAGAAGCUAUUUGAUGAUAGCUAGCUCACCAUCAGAUCAAAUCUGGUAACAACUAGUUUGCUAUC